Molecule: ribosomal RNA, 578 nt
Filed under: uncultured bacterium
Lineage: Bacteria
Description: bacterial SSU rRNA
Rfam family: Bacterial small subunit ribosomal RNA
Source: RNAcentral
ACGGGUGAGUAACGCGUGGGCAACCUGCCUAUCACAGGGGGAUAACACAGGGAAACUUGUGCUAAUACCGCAUAACACAUCGAGGUAGCAUUACCUUGCUGUCAAAGGAGCAAUCCGGUGAUAGAUGGGCCCGCGUCCAAUUAGCUAGUUGGUGAUGUAACGGACCACCAAGGCGACGAUUGGUAGCCGAACUGAGAGGUUGAUCGGCCACAUUGGGACUGAGACACGGCCCAGACUCCUACGGGAGGCAGCAGUGGGGAAUAUUGCACAAUGGGGGAAACCCUGAUGCAGCAACGCCGCGUGAAGGAUGAAGGUUUUCGGAUUGUAAACUUCUUUAGUCAGGGACGAAUAAAUGACGGUACCUGAAGAAUAAGCCACGGCUAACUACGUGCCAGCAGCCGCGGUAAUACGUAGGUGGCGAGCGUUGUCCGGAAUUACUGGGUGUAAAGGGCGUGUAGGCGGGAAUGUAAGUCAGAUGUGAAAUCCCAGGGCUCAACCCUGGAGCUGCAUCUGAAACUAUGUUUCUUGAGUGUCGGAGAGGAAAGCGGAAUUCCUAGUGUAGCGGUGAAAUGCGUAGA